RNAcentral lists this long non-coding RNA (409 nucleotides) under Sorghum bicolor (sorghum). Its description in RNAcentral is "long non-coding RNA (SBIC_LNC010256)". The record is from RNAcentral. Lineage: Eukaryota; Viridiplantae; Streptophyta; Magnoliopsida; Poales; Poaceae.
GGCAGACUACGAAGGAGAAGUGGAAAUCCAGAGGAGACCGUAGCACCAAGUCAGGUGUGGAGAGAGAAGAUAACUAUACACGAAGAAGUGGCGCCGCCGGAAGCACCGACUACGCCACCCGAUUAAUCCCAAGACAACUAGAAAACAGAGAGUCCCGUUCGGAGGACUUAAAAACACCGAACGCCUUGCCAAGAGGUAAACUUGGUAGUUAUCCUUUACCUUUCAAUUAUUUUAAACAGUUUUGUUAGUUAAUCAUGUUCAUACUAUCCUAAAAACAAAAUAAAAAUGUUAAAAAACAGUAAGCCCCUUGUGAGUAUACGAGUGGCAUGAAACCCAUAAGUACAUUCACUAUGGUGGCAUAAAAAUAAGAUAAAUAUUAUUUCUGCUCUAUAAAAUAAAAAUAUAAAAA